RNAcentral lists this transfer RNA (70 nucleotides) under Mobula japanica (spinetail devil ray). RNAcentral describes it as "tRNA-Trp". It matches the Rfam family "tRNA". Rfam says of the family: Transfer RNA (tRNA) molecules are approximately 80 nucleotides in length. Their secondary structure includes four short double-helical elements and three loops (D, anti-codon, and T loops). Lineage: Eukaryota; Metazoa; Chordata; Chondrichthyes; Myliobatiformes; Myliobatidae. The record is from RNAcentral. RNAcentral also lists the same sequence under 1 other name.
AGAAAUUUAGGUUUAAAUAAACCAAAAGCCUUCAAAGCUUUAAAUAAGAGUGAAAACCUCUUAAUUUCUG